GAUGAACGCUGGCGGCGUGCCUAACACAUGCAAGUCGAACGAAGCUUGACGGAUGAUUUCUUCGGAAUGAAACCAGAUAUGACUUAGUGGCGGACGGGUGAGUAACACGUGAGCAACCUGCCUUUCAGAGGGGGAUAACGGCUGGAAACGGUCGCUAAUACCGCAUGAUGUGUUCGGAUGGCAUCAUCUGAACAUCAAAGAUUUAUCGCUGAAAGAUGGGCUCGCGUCUGAUUAGAUAGUUGGUGGGGUAACGGCCUACCAAGUCUACGAUCAGUAGCCGGACUGAGAGGGUGAACGGCCACAUUGGGACUGAGAUACGGCCCAGACUCCUACGGGAGGCAGCAGUGGGGAAGAUUGCACAAUGGGGGAAACCCUGAUGCAGCAACGCCGCGUGAAGGAUGACGGUUUUCGGAUUGUAAACUUCUUUUCUUAGUGACGAAGACAGUGACGGUAGCUAAGGAAUAAGCAUCGGCUAACUACGUG
Molecule: ribosomal RNA, 483 nt
Filed under: uncultured bacterium
Lineage: Bacteria
Description: partial 16S ribosomal RNA
Rfam family: Bacterial small subunit ribosomal RNA
Source: RNAcentral